This 1288-nucleotide ribosomal RNA is filed under the name uncultured Bacteroidota bacterium. RNAcentral describes it as "bacterial SSU rRNA". It matches the Rfam family "Bacterial small subunit ribosomal RNA", at positions 74 to 1361 of the family's 1533-position model. Lineage: Bacteria; Pseudomonadati; Bacteroidota. The record is from RNAcentral.
GAGUGUUUUUAUUUUGGAGCGACCGGCGAAUGGGUGAGUAACACGUAUGCAAUCUACCUUUUGCUGGGGUAUAGCCAGGAGAAAUUCUGAUUAAUCCCCCAUAAUAUAAAGUUUCUGCAUGGAGCCUUUAUUAAAACUCUGGUGGCAAAAGAUGAGCCUGCGUUUGAUUAGUUAGUUGGUGAGGUAAUGGCUCUACCAAGACUAUGAUCAGUAGGGGGCCUAAGAGGGCGUACCUCCAACUGGUACUGAGACACGGACCAGACUUCUACGGAAGGCAGCAGUGAGGAAUAUUGGUCAAUGGAGGAAACUCUGAACCAGCUACGCCGUGUGCAGGAUGACGGUCUUUUAGGUUGUAAACUGCUUUUGUAUAGAAAUAAAACUCCUACGUGAUAGGAGCUUGAAGGUACUAUACGAAUAAGUGUCGGCUAAUUCCGUGCCAGCAGCCGCGGCAAUACGGAAGACACAAGCGUUAUUCGGAUUUAUUGGGUUUAAAGGGUGUGUAGGCUGUUUAUUAAGUCAGUAGUGAAAGCUUACAGCUUAACUGUAAAAUUGCUAUUGAUACUGGUAAACUUGAGUAAGAUUGGAGUAGCUGGAAUGUAUGGUGUAGCGGUGAAAUGCAUAGAUAUCAUACAGAACACCGAUAGCGAAGGCAGGCUGCUAAAUCUUUACUGACGCUGAGUCACGAAAGCGUGGGUAGCAAACAGGAUUAGAUACCCUGGUAGUCCACGCCCUAAACGAUGAUCACUAGCUAUUGGAAAAACGAUAUUCAGUGGCUUAGCGAAAGCGAUAAGUGAUCCACCUGGGAAGUAUAGUCGCAAGAUUGAAACUCAAAGGAAUUGACGGGGGUUCGCACAAGCGGUGGAGCAUGUGGUUUAAUUCGAUGAUACGCGAGGAACCUUACCAAGGCUUAAAUGUAUUACGAAUAAGCUGGAAACAGUUUAGUCUAUACGACGUAUUACAAGGUGCUGCAAUGGUUGUCUUCAGUUCGUGCUGUGAAGUGUUUGGUUAAGUCCUAUAACGAGCGCAACCCCUAUUGUUAGUUGCCAUCGGGUAAAGCCGGGGACUCUAACAAAACUGCCGGUGUAAACUGUGAGGAAGGUGGGGAUGAUGUCAAAUCAUCAUGGCCUCUAUGCCUUGGGCUACACACGUGCUACAAUGGCUGGUUACAAAGGGUCGCCACUGGGUGAUCAGGAGCUAAUCUCUAAAACCAGUCUCAGUUCGGAUUGGAGUCUGCAAUUCGACUCUAUGAAGCCGGAAUCGCUAGUAAUCGCGCAUCAGCAAUGGCGCG